AUUGAACGCUGGCGGCAGGCCUAACACAUGCAAGUCGAACGGUAACAGGAAGAAGCUUGCUUCUCUGCUGACGAGUGGCGGACGGGUGAGGAAUGUCUGGGAAACUGCCUGAUGGAGGGGGAUAACUACUGGAAACGGUAGCUAAUACCGCAUAACGUCGCAAGACCAAAAAGGGGGACCUUCGGGCCUCUUGCCAUCGGAUGUGCCCAGAUGGGAUUAGCUAGUAGGUGGGGUAACGGCUCACCUAGGCGACGACCCCUAGCUGGUCUGAGAGGAUGACCAGCCACACUGGAACUGAGACACGGUCCAGACUCCUACGGGAGGCAGCAGUGGGGAAUAUUGCACAAUGGGCGCAAGCCUGAUGCAGCCAUGCCGCGUGUAUGAAGAAGGCCUUCGGGUUGUAAAGUACUUUCAGCGGGGAGGAAGGGAGUAAAGUUAAUACCUUUGCUCAUUGACGUUACCCGCAGAAGAAGCACCGGCUAACUCCGUG
This 490-nucleotide ribosomal RNA is filed under the name uncultured bacterium. Its description in RNAcentral is "partial 16S ribosomal RNA". It matches the Rfam family "Bacterial small subunit ribosomal RNA", at positions 30 to 507 of the family's 1533-position model. The record is from RNAcentral.